This 355-nucleotide long non-coding RNA is filed under the name Cercocebus atys (sooty mangabey). RNAcentral describes it as "lncRNA (ENSCATG00000045482.1)". Lineage: Eukaryota; Metazoa; Chordata; Mammalia; Primates; Cercopithecidae. The record is from RNAcentral.
GGAGAACUUAUACAUGGCACCAUUCCUAUAAAAUGAGGAAAAUAGCUUUGAAGAUGAUGAUCUACUUCCAUCAUGAACAUUCUACCAAGUGGAAGAAAAUAAGAAAAAAAAAAUUCACUCUGCAAGAUUCUCUAACCCAGAAACCCAAGAAGGAAAGAAAGAGCUGCAUGGUGACCCUGACAAGUCCCUUUUUCUCAACCCUCAUCUGAAAUAGAUGCAUACUACAAGGAGGCACAAUGAUAAUGAGCUUAUUUCCUUCAAGCUACAAUCAAGAUGCUGAAAUAAAGGCUACAAUAUCUUUUGCCUUAUAUUCUGACAUCAGUGAAAUCAAGGCAAGUGCUCUGCUUUGGCCAGU